GACGAACGCUGGCGGCGUGCUUAACACAUGCCAGUCGAACGGUGAAGCGCUUGCCUUUUUGGUGGGUGUGGAUGAGUGGCGAACGGGUGAGUAACACGUGAGUAACCUGCCCUCUUCUUCUGGAUAACCUCAUGAAAGUGGGGCUAAUACGGGGUAUUCCGGGUCUGUCGCAUGGCGGGUUUGGGAAAGAUUGCGCCUUUGGGUGUUUUCGGUGGGGGAUGGGCUCGCGGCCUAUCAGCUUGUUGGUGGGGUGAUGGCCUACCAAGGCGGUGACGGGUAGCCGGCCUGAGAGGGUGGACGGCCACACUGGGACUGAGACACGGCCCAGACUCCUGCGGGAGGCAGCAGUGGGGAAUAUUGCACAAUGGGCGCAAGCCUGAUGCAGCGACGCCGCGUGAGGGAUGGAGGCCUUCGGGUUGUGAACCUCUUUCGCCAGUGAAGCAGGCCUGCUCCUGUGUGGGUGGGUUGACGGUAGCUGGAUAAGAAGCGCCGGCUAACUACGUG
This 504-nucleotide ribosomal RNA is filed under the name uncultured bacterium. RNAcentral's name for it is "partial 16S ribosomal RNA". It matches the Rfam family "Bacterial small subunit ribosomal RNA", at positions 28 to 507 of the family's 1533-position model. The record is from RNAcentral.